UGAUAAUCUCAUGUCACAAUUUUUCUGUAAGAUUGGUAUUUCAGAUCCCUCCUGGGUAGAGGCCCUAUCCUGAGCACUGGUGUUAAGAAGCGACCCUGGCCUCAAGAGCACAGGUGGAGGCUCACUGGGGCUUCAUAAACAUCUGAUGAAUUAACAACGGAUACGGACUUUCCCAGGGUUGAAUGUGUUGGAGAAGGAGGGCACAAGAGAGAGUUGGUCUCCGGAAGCCAGGGCGCGGAGAGUGGGGAGGAAACGGUGGGAGUCCCCGUCGGGAAGGGGCCCCCGGGCCCCGCGAGACAAAGGGCGGUGUCCUAUAA
This 317-nucleotide long non-coding RNA is filed under the name Homo sapiens (human). Its description in RNAcentral is "HSALNT0354225". Lineage: Eukaryota; Metazoa; Chordata; Mammalia; Primates; Hominidae. The record is from RNAcentral.